AGUGGAUGGGGAGCAACCUAGUUGUGCGUGUGUAAAGGUAGUGCCAAGAAAAGCGAUGAUCAUGUUGAAAAUCAAUUCCCGGUACCCGAAACCGACACAGGUGGGCAAGUAGAGAAUACUAAGGGGCGCGAGGUAACCCUCUCCAAGGAACUCGGCAAAAUGACCCCGUAACUUAGGGAGAAGGGGUGCCACCGAGAGGUGGUCGCAGUGAAGAGGCCCAGGCGACUGUUUAGCAAAAACAUAGGUCUCUGCAAACUCGAAAGAGGAGGUAUAGGGGCUGACGCCUGCCCAGUGCCGGAAGGUUAAAGAAGUUGGUCAGUUUUAGGAUGAAGCUAGCGACUGAAGCCCCGGUGAACGGCGGCCGUAACUAUAACGGUCCUAAGGUAGCGAAAUUCCUUGUCGGGUAAGUUCCGACCCGCACGAAAGGCGUAACGAUCUGGGCGCUGUCUCGGAGAGAGGCUCGGCGAAAUAGGAUUGUCUGUGAAGAUACGGACUACCUGCAUUUGGACAGAAAGACCCUAUGAAGCUUUACUAUAGCUUGGAAUUGUGUUCGGGCUUCCUGUGCGCAGGAUAGGUGGGAGGCGUAGAAGGUAUUCUUGUGGGGAUACUGGAGCCAACGGUGAGAUACCACUCUCAGGAGGCUAGAAUUCUAACUUAAUUAAGGACAGUUUCAGGUGUAGUUUGACUGGGGCGGUCGCCUCCAAAAAGGUAACGGAGGCGUACAAAGGUUCCCUCAGACUGGUUGGAAAUCAGUCGAAGAGUGCAAAGGCAGAAGGGAGCUUGACUGCGAGAAGUACAGUUCGAGCAGGGUGGAAACACGGUCUUAGUGAUCCGACGGUGCUGUGUGGAAGGGCCGUCGCUCAACGGAUAAAAGUUACUCUAAGGAUAACAGGCUGAUCUCCCCCAAGAGUUCACAUCGACGGGGAGGUUUGGCACCUCGAUGUCGGCUCAUCGCAACCUGGGGCGGAAGUACGUCCCAAGGGUUGGGCUGUUCGCCCAUUAAAGCGGUACGUGAGCUGGGUUCAGAACGUCGUGAGACAGUUCGGUCCAUAUCCGAUGUAGGCGUGAGAAUAUUGAGAGGAGCCUUCCUUAGUACGAGAGGACCGGGAAGGACGCACCGCUGGUGUACCUGUUAUGAUGCCAAUUGUAAACGCAGGGUAGCCAAGUGCGGAGAGGAUAACCGCUGAAAGCAUCUAAGUGGGAAGCCCACCUCAAGAUGAGUAUUCUGGUGUAAGGUCACGGGAAGACGACCCGUAAAUAGGCACGAGGUGGAAGUGCAGAGAUGUAUGAAGCCGAAGUGUACUAAUAGACCGUCGGCUUGACC
Molecule: ribosomal RNA, 1324 nt
Filed under: metagenome
Description: bacterial LSU rRNA
Rfam family: Bacterial large subunit ribosomal RNA
Source: RNAcentral